This 407-nucleotide ribosomal RNA is filed under the name uncultured bacterium. RNAcentral describes it as "partial 16S ribosomal RNA". It matches the Rfam family "Bacterial small subunit ribosomal RNA", at positions 29 to 526 of the family's 1533-position model. The record is from RNAcentral.
AUUGAACGCUGGCGGCAGGCCUAACACAUGCAAGUCGAGCGGAGCGGCGGACGGGUGAGUAAUGCCUAGGAAUCUGCCUGGUAGUGGGGGAUAACGUCCGGAAACGGGCGCUAAUACCGCAUACUAUCAGAUGAGCCUAGGUCGGAUUGACUAGUGGGUGGGGUAAAGGCCUACCAGGGCGACGAUCCGUAACUGGUCUGAGAGGAUGAUCAGUCCAACGGGAACGGAGAAACGGUCCAGAUUCCUACGGGGGGCAGAAGGGGGGAAUAUUGGACAAUGGGCGAAAGCCUGAUGCAGCCAUGCCGCGUGUGUGAAGAAGGUCUUCGGAUUGUAAAGCACGUUAAGUUGGGAGGCGGUACCAACAGAAUAAGCACCGGCUAACUUCGUGCCAGCAGCCGCGGUAAUAC